UUUGUUGGUCAUUUGUGAAACCCAACCCAAUUAAAAUCCCAGCCGACACCCCCUUUCUUUUUCCUCCCAUCUCACUUUCUACUCUAUUUUAACCAAAAUCAAAACACUCACACAAAUUAACACAGAGAAAUUCCUUUCUUCCUAAACAAAACUCAACAACAAACACACUCACACUUGAUAAGCUCUCACCUCUCCCUCUCAUCUACAUAUGACCCGACACCGGCGACCAGAACAAAUCCGACGACGGUGGUCUUCUCCGACGAACAACGCACCCCCUUCUCUCCUCCCCGCUGAUGUGUAACCAGGAACGACAACAACCACCACCACCGUCUGGUGGUGGUGCGACGGUGUAACGAAGAGGAGAGAGAAACGAGAGAGAGAUCGAGACGAAAGAGAGAGAGCGCCGGAGAAGGAGCAGCACCGCCGUGAGCGGCGGUGGCAGUGGCGUGCGGCGGUGCGACCAAGGAAAGAACGAGAGAGAGAGAGAACCGGUGGUCCUUGUUGUUAUCCAACGGAUUUCGCUGUUUUUCCGGCGGUCCGUGCCUCGAUCCAGUGGUUCCUCUUGGUCCGACAAGUCUCACGGCUUCGCAGUGGUUCGAGUCCGGUCAGAGUCGGCCUAGAAGAGUUCAUGUUCAGGUUGGUUGCUUGGGGUUCCAUGGAAGCUUCGGUUCGGGUUUCGUGUUCGGGUUCGGGUCAAACCCGGUUGACUCGGUCAACACCCGAGUCAACUCGGGUCAACAGCUGGGUCAAACAGUCAACAACAGUCAACGGUUCGGAUCAACAGCUCGGUCAACAUAAGUUAACGGCGGUUCGCGAUUCAUGAUCCGGGAAGACUCGGUCAAACUGAGUCCACUCGACUCGGUCAACUCAGUUGACUCGUUCAACUCAGUCGAACGUAUCGACACGCGAAGACUUGGUAAAUAUUAGUGGCACAUUUAUGUUGUUAUUUUCAUAGGAUUAA
Molecule: long non-coding RNA, 961 nt
Organism: Helianthus annuus (common sunflower)
Lineage: Eukaryota; Viridiplantae; Streptophyta; Magnoliopsida; Asterales; Asteraceae
Exons: 2
Source: RefSeq, a predicted model, not a curated record